RNAcentral lists this ribosomal RNA (849 nucleotides) under uncultured bacterium. Its description in RNAcentral is "SSU rRNA". It matches the Rfam family "Bacterial small subunit ribosomal RNA", at positions 524 to 1381 of the family's 1533-position model. The record is from RNAcentral.
UACGUAGGUGGCAAGCGUUGUCCGGAAUUACUGGGUGUAAAGGGAGCGCAGGCGGAACUGCAAGUUGGGUGUUUAAUCUACGGGCUCAACCCGUAUCAGCAUUCAAAACUGUGGUUCUUGAGUAAUGCAGAGGUAGGCGGAAUUCCCGGUGUAGCGGUGGAAUGCGUAGAUAUCGGGAGGAACACCAGUGGCGAAGGCGGCCUACUGGGCAUCAACUGACGCUGAGGCUCGAAAGCAUGGGUAGCAAACAGGAUUAGAUACCCUGGUAGUCCAUGCUGUAAACGAUGAUUACUAGGUGUGGGAAGAUUGACCCUUUCCGUGCCGCAGUUAACACAAUAAGUAAUCCACCUGGGGAGUACGACCGCAAGGUUGAAACUCAAAGGAAUUGACGGGGGCCCGCACAAGCAGUGGAGUAUGUGGUUUAAUUCGAAGCAACGCGAAGAACCUUACCAGGUCUUGACAUCCAACGACCGCCUAAGAGAUUAGGCUUUCCUUCGGGACGUUGAGACAGGUGGUGCAUGGUUGUCGUCAGCUCGUGUCGUGAGAUGUUGGGUUAAGUCCCGCAACGAGCGCAACCCUUAUUACUAGUUACUACGCAAGAGGACUCUAGUGAGACUGCCGUUGACAAAACGGAGGAAGGUGGGGAUGACGUCAAAUCAUCAUGCCCUUUAUGACCUGGGCUACACACGUACUACAAUGGCUAUUAACAGAGAGAAGCGAGACCGCAAGGUGGAGCAAACCUCAGAAAAAUAGUCUCAGUUCGGAUUGGGGGCUGCAACCCGCCCCCAUGAAGCCGGAAUUGCUAGUAAUCGCGGAUCAGCAUGCCGCGGUGAAUACGUUCCCGGGCCU